This 101-nucleotide non-coding RNA is filed under the name Dethiosulfatibacter aminovorans. RNAcentral's name for it is "SAM-I sequence". It matches the Rfam family "SAM riboswitch aptamer (S box leader)". Rfam says of the family: The SAM riboswitch is found upstream of a number of genes which code for proteins involved in methionine or cysteine biosynthesis in Gram-positive bacteria. The SAM riboswitch acts at the level of transcription termination control. The record is from RNAcentral. RNAcentral also lists the same sequence under 1 other name. Lineage: Bacteria; Bacillati; Bacillota; Tissierellia.
AACUUAUCACGAGAGGUGGAGGGAAUGGCCCUUAGAAACCUCGGCAACCUACGCAUAUGCGCAAGGUGCCAAUUCCAACAGUGAAAACUGGAAGAUAAGAA